This is a long non-coding RNA of Fundulus heteroclitus (mummichog), 1153 nucleotides long. RefSeq lists it as uncharacterized. The transcript has 2 exons. Lineage: Eukaryota; Metazoa; Chordata; Actinopteri; Cyprinodontiformes; Fundulidae. The record is from RefSeq and is a predicted model, not a curated record.
GUUUUGCAUGUUUCUUCCGCCCAAUCCCCUGUCUUGAUAGGAGCUUACCUCAGAGUAGUCAAUUAUCAAAGCUCCCCCAAGAUCAUCAAUCAUGUGAGGAGAUUGAAGUUUAGAGGAGGAGCAACGCUCCGGCCAUCGAUUCCAGUGAAGCCCCCCCUUCUCGCCCCCCUCCCAUUUUUUUUAUUUAGCCACAAAACACAAGCAGGCCAUCUACCCCUUCAGCUCCGUCAACGCUAAUAUGCCGUCGUGGCCGUAUUAAUAGGUUCAACACAUAAAUGUUCCAUUUGGAACUCGGUGACAUUUUUUGAUGGUGAAAAUUAAUUAUUCACAGGUUAGGAUUAAGUGCUCAGGGAGAUGGGCUGUGGCUACUGUUGGAGGGUCAACAACUCUCCCGGCAAACAAAAAUACCCAGCCAGUGCUGCAUAAAGGGGUCGAUUGUACAGACAGCGGAGUUGAGAAACAACGGAAAAUGAUUUAAUAAAUGAAACCGUGACAACAGUUAUGUUUGUUGGCAUAAAGUGGGGAGGGGGUGGGUGGGGUGUGCAGGACCGCAGGCUUUGACAAACGGCUGUAUGUGUGGACAUUUCGACGCGCAAUACCCCGGGAAGGAGCUGCAGAGCAGCGCACAGAGAGCCAAGGCGAUCACCGUCUCCAGGUCUCUGAGUGUGCGCUCUGUAAACACAGCCGGUCCGGCGAACCCUGCCGCUGAAGACUCUGGCGCUCGAUACUCAAAUACUGUCCGAUCUCUUUGCAUUUCUUGUUCUAUUUUAAUUUUUAUUUUUUAUCAACCACUCUCCUUUUGGAUCAACCAUGGUCCCUCCAUGCCUGAAUUGUCGGCUGGUUUCCUCCAAGGGGAUCGCCGGGAACUCAGCCUGAACGCAGCUGCAUUCACGUGGAGCGACGCGUUUUGAUAUUCAGGUCACACAAGGGGAGCAAACACAUGCCCUCCUGUUCAAUAAACAUCAUUGAUAAGGCUGCACAUCCGGCCAUUUUCCAACGCCGACCUUCGCAGAGCAACAGCGCUUAUUGUUGUGAAUUAUAAGGCUGAGAUAUGUCGUUUUGAGCUUUAUCUUGCCUGUUUGUUUAAAAGUGAAAUUUUAAAAAAUAAUGCUUUCAUUUCGGAGGUGUCCACAUUAAAGUCGGAGAAAGUUGA